Molecule: long non-coding RNA, 823 nt
Filed under: Heterocephalus glaber (naked mole-rat)
Lineage: Eukaryota; Metazoa; Chordata; Mammalia; Rodentia; Bathyergidae
Description: lncRNA (ENSHGLG00100037561.1)
Source: RNAcentral
AUUCUGUCAGAAUUUUUCAAGCAUCUGCCAUAUGUGAGAAGAUGCUGGGGAGUGUUCUGGGAAUGUGUGGUGAACAAGACACGAAGCCCUGACUUCCGUGGCACUUCCAUUCUUACAAGCCCAUCCAGAUUUUAUGUUUUAGAGGAGUUUUAAGUUUACAGCGGAAUGGAGUGGAAACUACAAAGUGAUCCUGUGAAGGCCGCCGCCUCCCGCAAGUCCCAGGGCCCUCAUCACCAACGUCCGCACCAGAGCAGCCCGAUUGUCAUCGCCGUGGACCUGCACGGACACAUGGGGGCCACAGGCGGCCUCGAGGUGCGCAGUGAUCCACUCGCUCUACGGCUUUGGAUGAUCACCCAGCACGAUAGCAUCGAACUGCCGUAAAGAUCCUCCUGUCGUGCUUAGCCUGAGACAAAGUGGCUGUGUGGCUGGGCAUCGCCACCAACGCUGGAAGCUGUGCAGCUCCCGCACACCCUGCAAACACUGGAGACGGGUUUCAAGUCACUGAGCCCUUCCCGGGGCCCAAGACGGGGUGAAGAGCAUUAACUGACUCUGCGCCCCUGCUGAGGGGCAGAUGCAAACAGCGACCCACAAGGGAGCUCCUUGGCUUGCAUCCUGGAGGACGGGAGGACGGCGGGUGGCCAGGACCAGCCACGGGCGCCCCCGGCCUGGCACCCACUCUGUGCCGCCAUAUGGGGCUGUGAAACCGGGAAGCCGUGUGGGGUGGAAGGGGCCCUCGCCUUCCAGGCUUCCCAAGGACGAGGAUGAAGACAGGGCCCGCUGCCCGCUGGCUGGGAGCAGUAGGUGCCGGCGGAAAGGCCAGGAC